GAAGGAACUAGCCAGGAUAAAAUGCGAGGAACAGAAUUUCAGAGCAGAAACUGAAAGGAAAGCAGAGGACGGAAGUGCCGAUAAAAAGAUGGAAUAAUGGCUGGACUCCAGAGCUAUUUUCCUGGGCCACAGUUUGGUGAACACUGUAUUAAAUCAUAGACCCACCGAAUAUUAAAGGAGGAAGAAACUUGAAGAUUGCCUAAUCCAACCCCAUCAUUUUUACAGAUGAGGGAACUAAGCUCAGGGGAUUAAGUGGCUCAUCUACAGUCACAAGCAAGUUAGUAACUGAAUCUGAACCAAAACCCGAAUAUUCUGUUUAAUGGUUUAAUUUAUUUCCCAAAAUCAUGCUCUCCCUCUAAAUAGUAUUUUUUAAUUUUUUGUAAAGCCACUAUACUCACACGGUUAAAAGUUUAUAAAAGGUAGACAGCAAAAGGUUUACUUACUUUAGAUCAAAAAUUAUAAAAUGCAGCCAAUCAUCUUGUGAUUUCAGGCAGAAUGGAAGGUUGAACAAGAUGGUUCUAGAAUGUCAGAAGCAUGUUUUGGUUGCUUUUGGUUAUGUAUGAGAAGGUAUUACAAAAAAAAAAAAGUGAGCUCAGAAAAGUGACGGUCAUUUCAAUGUUAAGAGGGAAGAAGCAUUAUGUGUUUCCACUUGGUCUCUUGAGCCUCUAUCAUCAGCAUAAAAUCACGCCUGGUUAGCUAGUUUCUAUCUCCAAAAGAGUUACAGCCACAUAAAGAAGACUUGGAGCCACAGACUUGCCUCCUGAGGCAGAGCUGCCUCAGCCAAACCGCAGAUUCUUGAAAAUUAGUUAUGGUUUUAACUCCUGAUUUUGUGCAUUAUUCUAACAAUUAGGUAAAAUAUAAAUGUGUAACAUUGCAAAUAUAUAUUCUCUGUAUUUGUAUUUUAUUGGUCAACUGUAAAUGACCUUCUUUGACUCCAAGAUGAGACAAUCAGAAAAUUAUUCUUCUUUCAGUCUUUUCCUACCUUCUCUUUCCUACUUUUUCUCUUAUUAUUUCUUCAUUGUCAGAGAAUAUACCUUUGCCUUCUCUCACUUAACCAUAAUUGUCACAUUUAUUUUACAGUCAAACAUAUUCAAAGUUUUCUGCCAGUUCUUUUGUCAUGUUUUUAUCAAUCUUUCCUAAUGAGCUGAAGUCUCUUCCUCUAGUGUUUGUCUUAAGAUGGUCUCUUGGGAAUAAAAUUCCCAGUUUCUUGCAUAUUUAAAACAAUGAUCUGUAACUUUAUACUUGAGUAUCGCUCGUCUGCAUACAAAAUCCUGGGUUCAUGCUUCCUAUCCUUAAGUAUCUUUUAGAUGUUGUUCCACUGACUUCUGGUGUUGACAAUUUCCAUAGAGAAAUCUGAGGCUAGACUUAUUUGCUUCCCCCCUACAACUGUCUUAAUAUUUUGCCUGUCUAUCUUUAAUGUCCAACAUUUUUGAUAGACUAUGUCUUGGCCUGCUCUAGGUCAGUUUUCUAUACCAGAAGGUGAUCCUUUUUCUUAUGAAAAGUCAAGUCUGUUCUUCUUUCAUGAAUUUUUUUUUUGGUGGCAAAAUACACAUAACAUAAAGUUUACCACUUUAAUCUUUUUUCAGUAUACAGUUCAGUGACAUUAAGUACCUUCACAUUGUUGUGCAAUCAUCAGUAGCAUCUGUCUGAAGAAUUUGUCAUCUUCCCAAACUGAAACUCCAUACCCACUAAACAAUAACUCUUCAUUUCCUCUUCCCCACAGCGCCUGGCAACCACCAUCCACCAUUUUACUUUCUAUGAAUUUGAUUCUUUUAUUCCACAUAAGUGUAAUCGUACCAUAUUUGUUCAUUUGUGAUUGUCCAUGAAUUUUUUAAAAAUUAUACCUUUCUAUAUAGUUUUCCAUUAUUUGGUUUUCUUAUUUCGCUUCCUUCAACAGGGACUCCAAUUAUGCCUAUACUACCUAAUUUAAAUAGCUAACAUUUUAAGUUAUUUUUGUCUUUUUCUUUCAUAUUUUAGUUUUCUAUUCUCCAUCUCACUAUAUUUUUUAUAGCAACAAUUUUUCUUUGUGGUCUUCUUUCCCUAUAUUUUUGCAAAAAUUCAUAUUAUCUACUUUUUUUUUCUGAGAUAAGACAGAUCAAAACUCAGCUCACAUCUUCCUCGACAUCUCUUGCCUGAGUUCUCUAUUUGUGUUUCCAGUCUAACGCCAUGAAGGCUGUUGUUUAAUGAGGUUGUUUUUCUCAAUAUAUGCUGAGAUAUUUGUCCCUAACUAUCACAGGCACCAUGACAAUGUUUUGACUCUGUGGUGCGCAUUGUGCUUCAUUUUGUGUACUAUCAGUGUAUGGAUGCAGUUCCAGUC
This 2317-nucleotide long non-coding RNA is filed under the name Homo sapiens (human). RNAcentral's name for it is "HSALNT0271362". The record is from RNAcentral. Lineage: Eukaryota; Metazoa; Chordata; Mammalia; Primates; Hominidae.